Molecule: long non-coding RNA, 275 nt
Organism: Rhinopithecus roxellana (golden snub-nosed monkey)
Lineage: Eukaryota; Metazoa; Chordata; Mammalia; Primates; Cercopithecidae
Exons: 2
Source: RefSeq, a predicted model, not a curated record
GUCAGUGUCUCCACAAGGUUAAGAAUGUGUCUGUCAGAUGAUCUGGGAAGACCUACCAUUACCCUUUGCUAAAGGGCCCCCAUCCCACCUCACGUUCCAGUUCUGAAUUUGCCAAGUGGAAGAGCAGGCCCUGGGAAGAAACAAAACCAUAAAAACUACUGGAUGAUUUCCACUGAAGCAGGCUCUGACGCCCUCAUGAACAUCGUUCUCAUCUCAAAUAAAUAAAAUAAAAUAAAAUGCAGCGGGGGCUUGAACUAGCCACCAUAUCCCUGAGA